Molecule: RNA transcript, 2444 nt
Organism: Juglans regia (Persian walnut)
Lineage: Eukaryota; Viridiplantae; Streptophyta; Magnoliopsida; Fagales; Juglandaceae
Gene name: O-fucosyltransferase 9
Exons: 11
Source: RefSeq, a predicted model, not a curated record
GCACUCCUGAUCUCUCUCUCUCUCUCGAUUCUCUCUUUACGAUCUCGUUUUCUCAUUCCUCUCUCUCUCUCUCUACGUGCUUCUCUUACCCCCACAAAUUCUUCCUGUCAGGUUCUCUAUUAACACUGCAUUACCUCCUUGUUUGUUUCUCGAGAAACUUUUUUUUAAUUCUCGAGUGAAAAAAGAAAGCUAAUUUAUUCUUUUCAACUGUAUAGCUGUCGAUUAUUUUAUUCGUUUUUUUAUUUUUUCAAUUCUUCGCCACUGAAUCUGCUCAGAGAAAACAAUUGUAGUUUUGCCGCUACUCUCGGUGUACAAAUGGAGCCGUAGAUACGCAACGAUAGAGAGAAGUAAAAGCUUAUAUUUUUUUCCUUAUGAGCUGGUAAACCUCCGAUCUUGGCUCUCUCGAAGGAUUUUUCCGUUCUCUGAACCCUAGGGUCGCUCCGCAGCAAUGCACGGCUACAGCCGCCUCGGAACCGGGCGGUCCAAUGCGACGCCGCCGUCUUCGCCGCCGUCCUCGCCGCGGUUCCGCCACGGCCGGGGCAAGAACAGCGGUGGCCGGGCCACGAAGCAGAGAAUGGUGGAGAGACUGGUUUUCAUGCUUGUGUCAGCGGUGUUUCGACGGAAAGGCGUGCUUUUGUUUGCUCCACUCCUGUACAUUUCUGGAAUGCUCUUGUACAUGGGCUCGUUGGGCUUCGACGUGGUUAGUUUGAAGAAUACUGUUGGCGUCGUCGUGCAUAAGCGCACGCCGCCGGGCUCGGUUUAUAGGAGUCCUCAGGUUUUUGAGAAGCUCUGGCCUUUCAUGGAGGCCGAGAACAAUGGAAGAGCAAACGCGAAAAUACUGUACUUUGGAAUCAUGCAGUUGAUGAUGGCAUGGAAUUCAAGUGUGCAUCAAGGUUGGAAGCCUUGUGUUGACAAGAUUAUUUCAAAAACAGAAUUGCCAAAGUCAAGCGGUUUUCUAAUAAUUGAAGCUAAUGGUGGGUUGAAUCAACAACGUUUAUCGAUAUGUGAUGCAGUUGCGGUUGCUGGAUUGCUAAAUGCAACACUCUUCAUUCCAAUUUUCCAUUUAAACAGUGUCUGGAGAGAUUCCAGCAAGUUUGGUGAUAUAUUUGAUGAAGAUUUCUUCAUAAACGCACUCAAAAGUCGUGUUGAUGUGGUGAAAGAGCUCCCAGAAGAAAUACGUCAGCGGUUUGACAAUAAUAUAAGUAACAUUGUCAAUUUGAGAGUAAAAGCUUGGUCAAGUCCAACUCACUAUCUCCAGAAGGUCCUUCCUAAGCUGGUGCAGAUGGGGGUUGCACGCAUUGCACCCUUCUCCAACAGAUUGGCUCAGGCAGUUCCUGCAAACGUGCAAAGCCUUAGAUGCUUAGCUAAUUAUGAAGCACUAAGGUUUUCCGAACCUAUAAGAAUGCUUGCAGAGAACAUGGUUGAUCGGAUGGUUAAAAAUAGCUCCCAGAGUGGGGGUAAAUACGUUUCAGUGCAUCUACGUUUUGAAGAGGAUAUGGUUGCAUUUUCAUGCUGUGAAUAUGAUGGUGGGGAGGAGGAGAAACGAGAAAUGGACAUUGCACGAGAAAGAAGUUGGAGAGGAAAAUUCAGAAGAAGGGGUCGAGUAAUAAGGCCCGGUGCAAAUCGGGUGGAUGGAAAAUGCCCUUUAACUCCAUUGGAGGUCGGAAUGAUGCUCAGGGGCAUGGGUUUUGAUAAUACCACCUCAGUCUUUGUUGCUGCAGGAAAAAUUUAUAGAGCAGAAAAAUAUAUGGCUCCGCUUAAGCAGAUGUUUCCACGUUUAGAAACGAAAGACACUUUAGCUACGCCUGAAGAACUUGCUCCAUUUAAGGGCCAUUCAUCUAGGUUGGCUGCUCUGGAUUACACAGUGUGUCUUCACAGUGAAGUAUUUGUCACAACUCAGGGUGGAAAUUUUCCCCACUUCUUGAUGGGUCACAGGCGAUAUUUAUAUGGAGGACAUGCAAAAACAAUCAAACCCGAUAAGAGAAAAUUAGCACUAUUAUUUGAUAGUCCCAACAUCAGUUCUUUUAGAUGGGAAGACUUCAGGAUGCAGAUGCAAGACAUGCUUCGCCACAGUGAUCAUAAGGGAGUGGAAAUGAAGAAGCCCAGCGGGUCACUCUACACCUUUCCCAUGCCAGAUUGCAUGUGUAAACAAGCAGAACCAAGAAAUGAAAACAGUAACACGACUGGACUUGUUUGAAACUCUGAUUAUACAAAUACCUAGGCUUUACAAAUGUAAUUUUUUUUAUACCUGUAUUUUAUAUUUGUAUAAUUCAAUUUAAUUCUUCAAUUAUUCUUUCAUUUAAGCUGACAGGAGAGUCUCCGAGGUUUUGAUUCUUUGAUCACCUCUGCAGAAUUGAGUUGAAUCAACAAGAAUGGGCAGCCGAGGGAACCCAAGGCCCACAACGAAGAAAUGAGUCACUCACUCCUAUUUGCCAGAGUCCAGG